GAUAUUCUAUUUAGGGUGCUCCAAAUGAGGCCUAAGGUGAAGCCUCAGCAAGCUCCACCCUUCGCAAUGUAGCCUUAAUAAUUUAGUGCUCCUGCAGUCCUUUUUUUUCCCCGCAAGCUUGCGGGGUAGCCUC
RNAcentral lists this ribosomal RNA (133 nucleotides) under Neurospora tetraspora. RNAcentral's name for it is "partial large subunit ribosomal RNA". The record is from RNAcentral. Lineage: Eukaryota; Fungi; Ascomycota; Sordariomycetes; Sordariales; Sordariaceae.